AUACCACCACCACCAGGUUUCAUAGAUGGGAUAAGGUUCUUAUGCUAGAAUGCAGUGUUUUCUCCAAACAUAUUGCCAUCUACAAAACAAUUUAUCAAGGUGGUCCUGGCUUGUCCACAUGAUCUUUAGCAAAUGCAGCUAGGCAGCAGUGUUAUUUUUGCAGUGACUUUCUCCUUGCAAACCUGCCAUGCACACAGUUGUUGUUCAGUAUUCUCUUUAUAGUAGACUCAUGAACAUUAAAAUUAGCCAAUAUGAGAGAGGACUUUGGUUGCUUAGAAGUUACCCUGGGCUCCUUUGUGACCUUGAGGACUAUUACAUGUCUUGCUCUUGGAGUGAUCUUUGUUGGUCGACCACUCCUGGGGAGUGUAAGAAUGGUCUUUGUAGCUGUCGCUGAAAAAAUGUAUGGGUCUUUUCUUUCUUUAAAGUAUUUAUUUGUUAUGUUGUUGUUAUUACAAUAAUGCAAUGUAAAUAUUAAUAAUAAUUUGCCUAUGUGAGUUUUGUUUUACAAGGGUUGCAGAAAUAGUGACACCUACAGGUUAAACUAGUGAUCUGCAUUUAAUUUAAGUUACUGUGGUCAUGUGAUUAGCCUAACUAAUAGCAGUGCAAAAAUGUGCAUGCAGUUUUUGGUGCUACAGUGUACACGGAGUGAGGUGCUAAAGAAGAGAAUAACUAAACAGUAAAGCGUUACAGCUACUCCUAGAUAUCUGGUUGGAAGGCGCACACGUUUUUCACGGUGUUUGAUGGUGUUUGACAGUGAUUGAAUGUGCUUAAGUUGUGAAGGAAUGCAAUAAAAGAAACGACAAACAUCAGUUGAAGCGUACGUUUUAAUCUGACCAGAAGAAUAGGUUUGGGAGCAGCUACAGUCUUGAAUUUCUUUUCCAGCCUGGUGAGUAUCAACAACCCUUUUCCUAAGGUCCUCAGAAAUAUCCUUUGUUCAUGCAAUGAUACACUUCCCCAAACAUGAAGAUCUGACUUGAUAUAUCCUUGUUUUUUGGGUAUAAUAUGUUACAAAGUAACACAUUACUAUAUUCUUAUUACUUUUUCUGAUAAUGUGUUAAUGUAACACAUUACAUUUUAAAUGUAUGUCAUUUGAUUACAGUUACUGAUGUCAAUAAAAUUAUGUUACUUGUGUUAGAAAUUUAUUGUUAAAAAAAACAAAAUUAAGUAAACGCAUUUUUAAAAUAAAUCACAUUUUGCCCAGCUGCCAGGGGCAUAACCUGAACCCAUAGCUUAGUUGUGCCUCCGCUUGGCUAGUGACACCAAACUAGUCUAGUUAGAAAAGACUAGUAGUCCUACAAACAGUGACAUCACCCGAGGCAAGUUUUAUGAUAAAUACAACUUUUUCUGAUCAUGUCAUACAUUGAUGUGCACUAAAAUUACUUUACGAACUACGAAUUUCACUUUGUAGUGUGUUUUUGAAAGUAAAGUAAUUAGUAAUCUGAUUACUUUUUAUAUGCCGUAAUCAGUAAUGUGAAUUAAUAACAAUUAAUUUUAAAGUAGUAAUUAGUAAUCUGUAGUGGAUUCCUUUUUUUGAGUAACUUACCCAACACUGUUCCUUAAAUUAAACAGGGUGCUCACUCACACCUGAUUGUCAUCCCACUGAUUGAAAAAACCUGACUGUAAUUUCACCUUCAAAUUAACUGCUAAUCCUAGAGGUUCAGAUACUUUUUGCCAAUCACAGAUGUGUAAUUUUCCUCAGGUAUACUACUGUUGUCUCAAUUGGGUUCUCUUUAUCUACUUUUAGGACUUGUGUGAAAAUCUGAUGUUUUAGGUUAUAUUUAUGCAUACGCAUCCAGGAGGAGGAUGAGUGGACGACUGCGUUUAGCACCAUCGCCUGUUGCAACAUCAGCCUUAUGUAAAGGCCGAGAAGUGUGAGUUCCACCAACACACGAUCUCCUUCCUAGGAUACAUCAUCAGCCAGAAGGGGGUCACCAUGGACCAGCGCAAGAUCCAAGCGGUGCUGAAAUGGCCCACGCCCCGAACCGUCAGGGAGUUGCAACGGUUCCUUGGCUUCGUGAACUUUUACCGACGGUUCAUUCGAGACUUCAGUAAGAUAGCACAACCCCUGAGAUCCCUCUUCGUGGCAAGCCCAGGUGGCUCCUUUGGACCCCAGCCGCCCAGGAGGCGCUGGACAUGCUCAAGCGGGCCUUCACCACGGUUCCCAUCCUUAGACACCCAGAUCCCUCCAGACCCUUCGUCAUGGAGGUUGAUGCCUCUGAGGCAGGGGUAAGGGCCAUUCUCUGACAGGCUCGGAAUUAAGCCCAAGCUGCACCCCAUAGCGUUCUUCUCCCGCAAGUUGCCAGCAGAAUGCAAUUAUGAUGUGGGGAACCGAGAACUCCAGGCAGUUAAACUGGCCCUGGAGGAGUGGAGGCACUGGUUGGAGGGUGCCACCCACCCGUUCGUUAUCUAUACAGACCAUAAAAACCUUGAAUACCUGACGACGGCCAAACAUCUCAUGCCCCGCCAGACCCGCUGGCCCUGUUAUUCUCCAGGUUCCAGUUUACCUGAUCAUAUAGUCCAGGAGCAAAGAACACUAUGGCCGAUGCUCUGUCACAAAUCCACUGCCCUGAGAGCCGAGCGGACCACAGAGAUUAUAUCCUGAACCUGCUGUAUUGAUAGCGCCAUAGGGUGGACUCUGGACCAGGCCUUAGCACGCUUCCCCAGGUCACGAAUCCCGGCCGCAUGUGCCCCCAGCAAGCAAUUUGUCCUGAAGCGAUACCGACUGGAGCUCGUCACCUGGGCCCACACGGCACUAGCGACGGGCCACCCGGGAAUGCAUCACACCCACCGACUACUGGCCGAGAAAUACUGGUGGCCCCACGUGUCUAGGGAAGUAUAGCGCGUCGUAUCCUCGUGCUCCACAUGCGCCCAGGCUAAGGUACCGCAUACUCUCCCAGCCAUUAAGCUGGUACCUAUCCCCGUACGGCCAUGGUCCUACUUGGCCCUAGACUUCAUCACUGACUUGCCGGAGUUGCAGGGGGAAACCGCAGUACUAGUGAUCAUCGAUUGUUUUUCAAAGUCUCUGCGCCUCAUUCCACUGCCCGCCAUCCCGUCUGCCUUUACCACGGCCGAACUGCUAUUCCAACAUGUGUUCAGAUACUUCGGUAUCCCGGAAGAGAUCAUAAGUGAUAGGGGGCCAUAAUUCACGUCUCAAGUCUGGACCAGCUUCAUGGAGAAGAUGGGUGUCACCGUUAAUCUCACCUCCGGUUACCACCCCCAGGCCAACAGAUAGGUAGAACGGGCUAACCAAGAAGUUGCUAGAUUCUUCCAAACAUUUUGUGCCACCAACCCGGAGGACUGGGGCCAAUUCCUCCCAUGGGCGGAGUACGCACAGAACCCCUUGCAGUGCUGGAUCCUGUCCCAGGACAUUCUGGACCCAAACCUGCGCAGGGACUUCCAUGCCACUCACCCAACUAAACCGAGACCACAGAGGAGAGGGAGGCCUCGGAAGGAUUCGGCUCCCGGAGUUAAUCCUUUGUGGGGGGGCUCUGUCACGUCGCGGUGUACUCGCAACUACAGUUUCCAGAAUGCAGUGCCAACAACAUGGCCGACGAGAACUACACUUCCCGGCCACGCUCACGUUCGCCAGAGUACUGAGUGUAAACAGCUGUACUUCAUCUUAGGUUAUAAAAGGCCUUGUUAACUUCAGAACCUCGUGAAGUAAACGCUCAGCUGUCUUACCUUUGUCGUUCACCUAGCCUUUGUCUGCGUUUCGGAUUUCUACGUUUUUUUGGAUUUACUAUCUGUAUUUGGAUUAGGUUUCCCUGCCUAGCCCAGUCUGGAUUGUUCGCCCGACCUACUGCUAUUUUCCGUGUUUCAUCUUCCGCCUGAUCCUCGCACUCUAAUUCUGUUCGUCUGUGCUUGCCUCCAACCAGGUGGUGCUAUGAUUAUAACUGAAUGUUGGCAUGUAGAUGUCUUCAGGCCAGGAUUCGUACCAAAGCAUACAUUGAAGGAAGCUCUCAAUUGGUUUCAGAGAAAAAAAUUAUGGUGUUAGAAUGGCCCAGUCAAUCACCUGACUUGAAUCCAAUUGAACAAGAUUUAAAGACAAUAUAUUUAGAAUGGGCCAAAAUCAUACCUGAAUACUGCGGUGGAUUAAUUUCUUCAUAAAGGAAGCAUCUUGAAGCUGUCAUUACAAACAAAGCUUUCUCCACUAAGUGUUAAAUAAAUUUCAGUUAGUGUGUUCAAUACUUUUUCCUGUGUCAUUCCUCUUUAUUACACAUAAUUUCAUUUAUGGACUUUAAUGUUUUGAUUUUUUUUUAUGUGUGGAUUUCUUGAGGUAAUACCAAAGUCUGGUGAAAAUUUAAUGUGAAUAGCCUCAUUGGAAAUAUAUUUACUGAAAAAAAUGUUGACGCAUUCAAUACUUAUUUCCCCCACUAUAUAUGUUGCCAGUAGGUGGCACUAUAUCUAUAACUGAUUAUUGGCAUGAAGGUGACUUCAGGCUGGGACUUUUAUCACACCUGUGAAGUUUGGAACAGAUUGGACAGUGCCUGUAUGAGUUAUAACAACUCCCUGUUUCUUGAUGAAACAGAAAUUUGUGAAACUGCCACACCCACGCUGUGCAACGAAAACACAAAAGCUUUGCAAAUUAGCAUCAUCAAGGCCUAUAGAUGAGACUGACCGAAUAUGGUGUCGAUCCAAUGAAAUCUCUAGGAGUAGUCCAUUAAAAUACGAGGCCUGGAAAUAGCUAAAUCUGAGCAAAGAUUUAAGAGAAAAAUCAAAAUGCCUGACUUCCUGUUGAGUUUUGGGUAUUAGUUUAAGAGACAUUUUGUAUGUUUUGGCAGAUUACACCUGUACCGAUUUUACAUGUAAAAGGUAGCGUGAGACUCACAUCAUUGAAAUUUUGUAGGUGGCCCUAUCGAGCCGUUUUGCCAUACUCCAUUCUAUCACCUGUAUCCGAUGUAAAUGAUCGCCACUUUUGAGGUGUGUCCAAAUUUGCCUGUUUUCGAGCAUGUUUAGGCCUCAAAAAUGUGAUUCAUUUCAUAUUGAAAUUUGUCAGGCCGCCACAGACAUGCCCUUCAAUGAAAACUCAAAAGCUUUCCAAUUUAACAUUGCCAAGGCCUUUACGUUUUUAUGAUGUUGAUCUGAUUAAAUCUCUGGGAGGAGUUUGGUAUCAUUGUUCUUGGCCUGAACCACGGAAUCUAUCAAGACCAGUCUCAUGACGGUAGGCAAAAGGAGUCAAUAGCUCUUAGUAUUUUUAGAAAUAGCAUUAUAAUUUUUGACUACAUGUUGGCACUGUCACAAAACAUUUUGAGUCCCUUCAGAGCAUCUUGCCAAAGAAACAUCCUGAGUUUCGUAAUGAUAAGGCAAGUCAUUCAUAAAAUACAGCAUUGUAUGAUUACAUUCAAAAUGGCGGACAUCCAAAAUGGUUAACAUAGGAAUUUUUCAUAUCGAUGCACUCGGUAUGCCCCACUGAAUCUAAUUUUAUGACAAACUGUUCAGAAGUUAUAAGCAAAAAUGUGCUUUUAUCAUAUCUUGUGACCAGUAGGUGGUGCUGUUCCAAAACACAGCAGGUAACCUCAGGGCAUAAUGGUGAUGACCCAUACCAAGUUUCCUCCAAGUUUAGGUUAGUUGACGUUACUUUGCUACCUCACCUCUUACGCCCCAAAGCUACCUGACUGCAUACUACUGUUGCAGGCUAGACACUAGAUCAAUCAUUAGAUGUCAACCUGCACAUCCCCUCACACAUACAAACCUAUUCCUAAUUGUGCACCCUUCUCCUGGUACAGGUGGUAUCUGUUAGUAUGCCCUGUCACAGAAAUAAACUCACAAAUGAUUGGGACCGUUCCUGAGAACACUGGGGGUCCGGGGGUAGACCCUUAAGCUGGAAAGAUAAACCAAAGCACAAUAUUGGAGUUUAUUGGAUGGAAGACUUAUUGAUCCAAUCACUCCGAUCACAUCAUUGCAUCAGAAAGAGUGCAUGACGUACACACUUUUACCCAAAUUUGGUAUUUAGCUGAUCAUGGUGCUGGGACUAAGUGCCUAAGGCGACAUGAUUUCUAUAGGUUCCACAUAACCACGCGAAGUUUUUUAGUAGACUAUUGCUGCAGAUUGGACGACAAUUAGUAGUUAAAAGCCUGUAUGCCAAGAUUUUGGUUGCCUCUGUAUCGCCUCUGUAAACCAUUCUGCAUCGCCUUUGGUCGUGAGAAUCAUUACCAACAGUGCUACCCACACAACGUAACACGUCCCCUCGUCACGCAGACACAUAAUGGUUAUUCUAUCAUUAAACACAUGCGGUCUGUGAUACGCAAUCCUCCGCAGACUAGCGAGACGGGGUUUUGAUUGGCAUGAGGGGAUGGGGCUCGUGGAUAUUAACCGUCUCUCUACCAAUAGGUGCAAUGAUUCUUCUUGUUUUGCUCAUUUUGCCUUUAUUUUUUCUCUCGUUCGGAGCAGUCUCUCAUGCUCGUUUUAAUCACUAAUGACCAAGUGCUGACGUUGACCGAUUACGAUCCCUAUGAUGACCUACCUGACUUCCUAAACCUGACUGGGUACUCGAUCCUCCCAGCGACACUGACAACCCAUUGACAUCCAUUUCAUGCCUAUUGUAAAUAUUCCUUUGAACAUGACGACUCUCAUUUCACCCUAAAUGAGCUUGCUUACCGACAGGAUACUUUAUAUCCGCAAAAACAACCUUACUUCAUUAUGUCUGUUUUUGUGAUGAUUUCAGUUGAACCGUGAAAUAUAUUAUUUAUAUUUUGUAAUGAUAAAAGGGGGAAAUGUGAUGUAAAUUUUUACUUUGUAAUACUUUUUGUUCUUGUUCAUGUUCAUCAGAGAAUAACACCUAAGGUGGUCAUGUCAUGUCAUUUAGAUUAGUACAGAAUGUUUACCUGCUUACAGAGACACAAACAUGUUUUUCUGUUAAGGGUUCGACCCUGAAACAAAGCCUGUCUGAAACAGAGCUGCCUCAAACUGCUCCUUUCGAUCCAUAGAAGUGUAUUGUGCCCUGCACUUCAUAUAUAUAGUAGAUGUUCAGCACAAGUGCCUCAGAGCGCUCUCAUUAUUCUAUCCUGCAUUCUUCUAUCCUGUAUUUAUCUUUCUGUAAUAAACCUUUUCACCUCAGAGGAUGAGUCUGUGAGUGUUGUCUAAUUUCCACGACAUCAAAUAUUUCAGGGCAUUUGUAGCAUGGUCAGUGUGUACAUACUUGUACUCAAAAUGCCCUUUACAGGUUAACUUGCAUUUCAGUUGGAUCCUUUUAAUCUUGUCAUCACAUUCAUUUCAUGGAAGAAUAUUUGACGGCUGUUGUAUUUACAGGAAAACAAACUACAGGUCUAUGGCAUCCAUGUUGUUUUCCACAAGGAAGACAGUAACUUAAAAGGAACAUUACAUGCAACAAGAUGUUGUUCCAAUGUGUUAAGAUAUCAGUUGAUUUGGAAUGUCCACCAAAUGUAUAUUGUUGGCAACACACUUCAGGAAAUUUUCCACAAAGGAUUUUUUGAUGACAUGUUAAACAUAUCCACAAUUUGCACCCUGGAGAAUAACCAGAAGAAUGUUUACACUUUAUCACAUGCAUGUACAUACCUCAGUGUGAUGCAUUUUCUCCCCAAAACAGCUAUUUGUUCUCCUCAUGAGAUAUAAUAGGCAUGUAAUUCUCCUCAAGAGAUAUAUUAAGCAUACAAUUCUCUUUACAUUAUGUAGGAACCUUUUUAUUCACAGAAUUCAGCUCAGAGUCAGGGUAUCUUCGAGAGCAAGGUUGUUGAAAGACUUUAGAAGUUUGUAUCGAACAAGGUUGUUGUGAAAUUGUAGAGCAACUUUUAAUCAGGUUGUAGAGAGACUUGAGUAAUCUAGAGAGCAACUUUCUUCUGAAAUUUUUAGAGUUUCCACCCCUUUUUUUUUUUGAAAGGAGGGGGCACAACACUCUGCAUACAGCCUCUUGGCAAGCUGAGACCUCUUCUUUGGUCAUGGCAUCUGUAACACACAAAUACAAAAAUAAAAUAUACUUAGGAGACUGAAGUUAAGAUUUUCUAAAACAACUUAAGACAGCACAAGCAGAUAACACACUCUAGGAAUUCAUACACAACAAGUGAUCCCAUAAAUGACAUUAACAUACAAGUAAGAAAAACUGAAUGAGAAAAUAUA
Long non-coding RNA from Ictalurus punctatus (channel catfish), 8073 nucleotides. The record is from Ensembl. Lineage: Eukaryota; Metazoa; Chordata; Actinopteri; Siluriformes; Ictaluridae.